Molecule: long non-coding RNA, 6002 nt
Organism: Eptatretus burgeri (inshore hagfish)
Lineage: Eukaryota; Metazoa; Chordata; Myxini; Myxiniformes; Myxinidae
Source: Ensembl
CCGCUAAGGGACCCGUGACCUUUCGGACUUAUCCGUGAAUCACGACCUAAAUUCCGGGGUGUUCGGUGGAGACGACCCUACCGCUCCCCCUGGUGGUCGUUUAUCGCCGCCGAACCCCGGCCCACAACAUGUGACCCUCAUAAUGCAUUUAGUGUAAUACCUCCAUACCUCCAUGGAAUACCUCCAUACAUGUAACCUCCAUAUAGCGGGGAAUUCAUCGUGUCCCAGACUUACAAAUUAGCUGGUGUUGUCGGUGAGAAGUUGUGUUUGCUGAACUUUUCCACGGCCCACAAAACAGAGAUUUCUUAUCGGUGGAAUCACUGCUGCGUCAACUAAUUUUGGGCGGUGUAUCGGUUUUCCAACAGGAUUUAUUCGACAGCGCAACUCAAAAUACGAGAAGAGAUAAUUACUUAUCCUUGAACAUGUAAUAUUAAUGUCUUGAUUUCGGAUGGACAAUAUUAUGCUUUCGAACGACCGAAUACGAAACCGUGUCCAUGAACGUUCUGAAGAAGUUUGAAGGAAAAUUAAUAUCGGGGUGAGGUUCUUCUUCUUCUAAAACCCGUGGUACUGUUACAGCGUCGGCUAAUCACUGUAUCGUCGUGGUCGCGCGGAAUUUCUGAGGAGAAUCGUAUGUUCGACGAAACUACACACACAACUGGUUAUGACAUCUGAGAUGACCACAACCUUCAUCACCUGAAUAUGCACCAAGGAUUGUUCACUGCAUUCAAAAAAAUAUCCAUAGGUAUUUACUUUCUUUUCUGUGAAACAUUUCAUGGGUUAUCCAAGUCUACCAGUGGUUCUCUGGUUUUCUUAUCCAGCCACUAGCAGGUGAAUGCCCAGUAUUGCCUCUCUUUUUAUUAGUGGGAUUCUGUGUCUCCAACAGGUCAUGACUGAAAUGGAGACCUUCCCAGGGUGGCUACGGACACAGGGCCUGACGUCAGAAACUGCUCAAGCAGUCAUCAUGGAGCUGGGUAUUGAGAACCGUCAGGUGCUCCAAGCCUGCACAGAGUCCGAUGCAUUGAGAGCUGAGCUCCUCUCAUGUGCACAGCAAAAGUUUCCUUUUGCAAUGUAUGCAGAGUUCCACCAAUUUAUGGAGUCUUGUGUGAAACCAGGAGCUAUCCAGUCUGCAAGCUCUUCUUCGGCACACAUAUUUUGCUUGAUGCUUGAGCAUGUAGGUGACAAGCUUUCUGGCUGUGCCCAGAAAUUGCGCUUGUUGAAAUCUUCACUCCUAUAUGCUGGAGUGACAAACGCUCAACUUCAAGAAACUGAUAUUGUGUCUGAGAUCAGGAUACAUGAUGUUUACAGCCUCCAGCCUAACGGUUCCAGGUUAAACCCCAACUCUGGUGAAGAUGAUUUUCAAAAGGCAACUGAUAUAACUCCAAACACCAGGAAAUCUGUUAUUAAAGAGUUGGAAGUUGCAGCUACACAGGAGUCCAGCAAUAUUUCAGAUCUUGACCCAGGUAAAAUGUAUUCUGCAAAAGUGGAAAGCCUCCAAGAGGACAAUGAUCCAUCUGCCUCAGAAGCUUCGAGAUGUGCUUCUGUAAAAGAAGAAAUAGAUGAUCAUACGACAGAUGAUGGUGUUGCCUGUUGGGAAACUGGUGCACAAAAGGAGAGUUAGUGCAUCGUCAGUAGAUUUAGAUUUGGUCAAGGUUUAGAGUUGGUCAGCCAACAAUGUGGUACAGACAACGAAAGAAAAAUCGGUCAGUUGAAAUCUGCCUGGAAACGAAAUCCAUCAAAGAGACUCAAAUCAAGUCCUGAGUUGUAUGCCAAAGGACAUCGUCUCCUAAGGAUGGCUACAAUCCAUAUAUGAUGUCAAAACAACAAUACCUGACAAGAUCCGUUCAAUCACUGCAGCCAAAUGUGUCAAAGUAAUGAACAAUUUUCCCUGUCGAAUCAAAGCGUGCCUGCAGUGUUGAGGCCGGCAUCUGGAGCAUGUGCUCUAACCUCAAUAAAAUCAGACAUUAAAGAUAUCCAUCUGAAACUUUGCAUGAUAAUCUUGCUUCGUGUGAAGCAAAUGUAUACUAAGCAUGUUGUUUUAUAUAAAAAAGGCUUAUUAAAAUGUAUGGGUAAUGUUUUUUUGGGGGGUGGGAGGCAGUUUCAUGCUACCUAACGUGGUCAAGACUCUUGGAAGGUCUAGAGCAGAAUGGAAUGGAGCAAAAUGGAAAGGGGGAGGGGGGGACAGAGUCUAAGUGUGUGUGAGGUCGAGUGGAGGGGGAGAAGGACUUGUGGGGUGAAUCAGCUGCACACAUGCUACAAUACAGUAAGAAGAGGAACAGGAAAGUGGGAAUGAAACAAAAAAUGAACAAACCCACAAAAAAGAGGUGAAGGAGAGGGGGAAAAAAAAUCAAUUAACCUGAGGUGGAGGUGAGCAGCAGUCUUGAAGCCUUGGUGGGAAGAAUAGGACUGAAGACGGGACGUUCGUUCCACAAGCGAGAGAACAGAGGGAAUAAAACAAAAACGGGUGGAGGUGAGCAGUGAGCCUGGAUAUUUUUUUUUUUGAGUUUAACAAAAUGAUGGUGAUUGACAGACUGUGUGUGCCCUGCAGAAACCCGGGAAGAACAACCAAGAGAGGGCAGAGGGUGCAUGAGCAAAAAGGAGGCAGUAGAAUACAGAAGUCGUCAACCUGUCUAGAAUGCAAAAGCAAGAAAGUAACAUGCCUAGAUACUCGGCUUUGUCACCAGAUAUCUCAAUUAUUUUCAGGACCUUGCUUUCCAUGACAUCAAGCUGAGAAAGGUGUGAGGCAGGGGUGACAGCCCAGAGGAGAGACAGAGCAAUACUCCAUCAAGUUGUAGAUGAAGGCCUUGUAGGUGGAUAAAAAUGCAGGUGUGCUGAAGAAGAACUUUGCAUGACAGAGGAUGCCCAUGUACUGGCUUUAGAGGCCAACUGAGAAGUGUGGUUUGCCCAAGAAACGACUUGGCUACCAAUGAUCGUCAAAGGUUUGACUGAACUGCUUCAAUAAUUAAUUCAAUAGAAUUGUUCAGAAAGUAGUUGGUCGUGGGAGGCGGGAGUGCGCGGGGGGGGGGGUGUGAGGUUUGCCAGAUGGUUCUUUCAAAGAGACACUGUGAAAGUGUGGAAUUUGUCAACAUUAAAAGGCAUAUUCCAAGUAGUUGACCAGCUCAUCAUUCCACCAAGGUCUGCAGAGUGGAGAGCAUGCUGCCUACCUUUCUGAAGGAUGAGAGAUGUUGCAGAGGGUGGAGUCAUCAGCAAAGAUAUGUAUGUGGGGUUCUCCAGAGAGCCAGAGAGAUCGUUCAUGAAAAUUAGGAAUUGUACAUGGCUCAGAAUACUGCCUUGCCGCACUCUAGCCUUGACAGGAAGUUGAGAUGAAAGGAUCCUGUUGAGAGCCAAACGUUAUUUCAGAACCACUGAAGUUAGUAAUCUAUGUAUGGAGUUGGCCUUGAAUUCCAUAGGCAGAGUUUUGAAAGCAACGUGGGGUGCCAGAUUGUAUCAAAUGCUCAAAAUAUUUGAAGAGAGAUGGCUCUGAUCUCAUGUUUGAGAUUAAUGGCUUCUUUUCAUUGUUGGGAGAGCAGGAAAAAGCAUUUUCAAGGUAGAGUGACCUGGUCUGAAUCCAGAGUGAUAAUCAGAGAUCAGACCAUGACAGAAAUGGAAGGAUUUGAUGUCAUUUGUGAUGAUAGGUUACGUCAUUUUAUUGUGAGUAAGCUGGUCGGCAAUAAAGAUGAUUGGUUUUUCACAUGGCUUAUGAAAUUGAGUGAUGUUUGCUGACUUCCAAGCAGCUGGAAGAUGACAGAGGAUGCGCAAGAACCUGAUUUUGGGAUGCUUGCACUGAUGCCGUCUGAUGUUGCAAAAUCAGAUGUGAAGGAUGCAAGAAACCUCUCCAUCUUCUCAGGUGCCAAAGACAGUCCAAGAGUAGUUGGGUGUGACUGGGUAGAGUGGGUACAGAGAGUGAGCUGUUGGAAACACAAGAUUUGGAAUAAAAUGGAAUUGAGGCAUUCUCACAAGUGGUCUGCUGUGGUGCCUUUUGAAGUGAGGGAAGGGAGGGGGGGGCAUACUCCAGAGACGGACAGCAAGAUGUCAUCAAGUUUUUGAGGAGGGAGACAAGUUUGAAAGUUCAAUCUUGAGGUUGGUCAGGUGUUGUUUUCUGACUUCUGAGAGUGGACACUUGUUGAGGGCUUUGCUGAAUGAUCUGAGGUUCCCAUCAGUCGGAAUUGCCUUCCAGGAAAACGAGGCCAGUUGUUUCAAAGCAAUUGUCUCACCAUAGGAUUCAUUGUACUUUGGGUGAGAGGAAAGGUAUGACAACUGAAAUCGAAAUGGGAUGGAUCUGUGUAUGAGAAAGUGCAGGCUUCUGUUGUAUAAUUCCCAAGCUGAGUUAAUAAUGGGCAUCAGAUAUGCGAGACCAGUGCUGAAGUGAGAUUACUGCUUGCCAAUCUGCCCGAGUUAACUGCUUGACUUGCCGGCGGUUCGCCGGCUCAGAAUAACCAGAGAGAUAGUGACUCUUACAAGCACAUGAUUAGAUGAACCAAUUGGAGCAGAUGAAGAGCAGGAGACAUUAGCAGAAAAGUUGGUCAUCACUCAGUCCAGAAUGGAGGAUUUGCAAUUGACAUAAAUCUGGUUAUAAAGUUCACAGAUUGAGUCAAUUCUGUGGAGUCACAGAAGUCCUUUGUUGAUGUGCCAUGGGUGGUUGAAGAGUAGUUUGCAGCCAAUUGGCAUGGUUGCUGUUGACAUUGCUGCACAUGAGGAGAAGAGAGUUAGGAUUGGUAAUUAUUCAAUGGUCGAUGUUGGCGGAGAGACAAACAGACAUUCACAGACAGAUGAAGUUGUUCCUCUUUGGUGGACGGAACAACACACAGACAAACAUGAGGUGGGAGUGGAGGGAAAGUCUCGAGCAAAGGUACACGUGGGGUUUGGGAGGUGUAAGGGGAGCAUGCAGACAGUCAGAAAUGGAGACGUCAAGAUACAGUAUGUCUACGGAGAUGACUGAUCUCAUGUCUGAGAUUGAUUAAGGGCUUCCAUCCCUUUUUUGGGAAAGUUAAGGAAGCAUUUUCAGGGUAGAAUGACCAGGUCUAAAACCAAACUUAUGAUCUGAGAUCAGGCUGUUAGAGAAAAAGAUUUGUCGACUGCAAUGCUCGAUUUCAUGACCUUGCUUAUAAUUUGAAGCAAAGGUCCUGAGUUCAAGCCCCAUUGGCUGCUUGAAUUAAUACACACCAGGAGGUUGACUCAGCCUGUCAUCCUUCCGAGGUCGGCGAAGUGGGUACCAGUGUACUGGGUCCGGUGUAUGCCCCGGUUAGAAUAGGUGUACCAUAUCCCUGUGUCGUAAGAGGCGACCAGGGUUGCGUCAGGAAGGGCAUCCGGCAUAAAGCCUGUGCCAAAUCAUUAUGCGGAUCAUAACGGAUGAUCCGCUGUGGUGACCCCCUAACGGGAGCAGCCGAAAGAAGAAGAAGAGAAGACAUUGUGGAUCGUUUCCUCCUGUCCACAACUACAUCUGUCCGCCUCCAGCCCCUCCCUAGUCACACGCAUUUCUCAAGAAACCCUCACCUGCUCACCCUCCCCACAUCCAGAAUUUAAUUGCCCAUUUGCAUUCAUUUGUCCACUUUUUCUUCUGAUUGUGGAAUCAUUUCCUUGGGGUUCUCAGUAAAUAAGAAUGUCCAAGUGCUGGGUUGAGGUUUCAUGCCAGAUACCUUUACCUAUUUAGCAAGUGUGCUUUAAUUAACUCUUAAAAAAUGAAUACAUAUACACUUGACUUGAAUUCAAUUUUGUAGCAUUGUAAAGUACAUGUUCCAGCAAGCUAUUGACAAGGAGUUGUAUGCAGGUGAUAUCUUUCUCAUAAAAGUUGAAUAUGUACAAGACAAUGAUUCAUCAACCCUUCAACCUUUGGGUUGUUUCUGUAAAGGAAGAUCCAGUUGCUGUUCAUGUGCCUAACUGAAAAUCUGACUGUUCUGUAUAAGGUGAGCACAUCUGUGCAAAAUAUUUAAUCCUCAUCUGGAUAAUUUUAAUAUUUUGAAAUCUUAUUAAAUAUUCUGAUGCUGACCAAAUGGGAUGUUCACUUU